This 583-nucleotide ribosomal RNA is filed under the name uncultured bacterium. Its description in RNAcentral is "partial 16S ribosomal RNA". It matches the Rfam family "Bacterial small subunit ribosomal RNA", at positions 355 to 1375 of the family's 1533-position model. The record is from RNAcentral.
UGGGGAAUUUUGGACAAUGGGCGAAAGCCUGAUCCAGCAAUGCCGCGUGUGUGAAGAAGGCCUUCGGGUUGUAAAGCACUUUUGUCCGGAAAGAAAUCCUUGGCUCUAAUACAGUCGGGGGAUGACGGUACCGGAAGAAUAAGCACCGGCUAACUACGUGCCAGCAGCCGCGGUAAUACGUAGGGUGCAAGCGUUAAUCGGAAUUACUGGGCGUAAAGCGUGCGCAGGCGGUUUGCUAAGACCGAUGUGAAAUCCCCGGGCUCAACCUGGGAACUGCAUUGGUGACUGGCAGGCUAGAGUAUGGCAGAGGGGGGUAGAAUUCCACGUGUAGCAGUGAAAUGCGUAGAGAUGUGGAGGAAUACCGAUGGCGAAGGCAGCCCCCUGGGCCAAUACUGACGCUCAUGCACGAAAGCGUGGGGAGCAAACAGGAUUCAGAUACCCUGGUAGUCCACGCCCUAAACGAUGUCAACUAGUUGUUGGGGAUUCAUUUCCUUAGUAACGUAGCUAACGCGUGAAGUUGACCGCCUGGGGAGUACGUCGCAAGAUUAAACUUAAGGAAUUGACGGGGUCAUAGCUGUUUCCU